CCUACGGGGGGCAGCAGUGAGGAAUAUUGGUCAAUGGGCGCAAGCCUGAACCAGCCAAGUCGCGUGAGGGAUGACGGUCCUAUGGAUUGUAAACCUCUUUUGUCGGGGAGCAAGGCCCGCCACGUGUGGCGGGAAGGAGAGUACCCGAAGAAAAAGCAUCGGCUAACUCCGUGCCAGCAGCCGCGGUAAUACGGAGGGGGCAAGCGUUAUCCGGAUUUACUGGGUGUAAAGGGAGCGUAGACGGCGAUGCAAGCCAGAUGUGAAAGCCCGCGGCUAAACUGCGGUAGUGCGUUUGGAAUUGGAUGGGUGGAGUGCAGGAGAGGCAGGCGGAAUUCCUGGUGUAGCGGUGAAAUGCGUAGAUAUUAGGAGGAACACCAGUGGCGAAGGAGGCCUGCUGGACUGUAACUGACGUUGAGGCUCGAAAGUGCGGGUAUCAAACAGGAUUAGUACCCGGGUAGUC
Molecule: ribosomal RNA, 460 nt
Filed under: uncultured bacterium
Lineage: Bacteria
Description: partial 16S ribosomal RNA
Rfam family: Bacterial small subunit ribosomal RNA
Source: RNAcentral